CUUGGCUUAACUCGUCACGUACGUCAGAUUUUUGGGCCAUAUACAUUCGCAACAUUCCAAGAUUUGUCGGGAGUCACACGAGUGUGUACUUGAUACAUAAACAUACAUGCACGCUAAUAAAUUCUAAUAAUAUUCUGUUAUUAGUUAGAACAUUUGAUGGGUACAUCCGAGAUAUUGUUGAACAGAUUAUAUUAUAUAUUCUCAGUAAAUACAGUAAACCUUUCAAGAGAAAAGGUUUUUUUUUUUUUUCCGUCAAAGUUUUUUGAUAUUAUAUAACUGGGCCAAGCCCAGACAAGAGCCGAAGCCCGAAUACAUAAAGACUGAC
Molecule: long non-coding RNA, 325 nt
Filed under: Brassica rapa (field mustard)
Lineage: Eukaryota; Viridiplantae; Streptophyta; Magnoliopsida; Brassicales; Brassicaceae
Description: long non-coding RNA (BRAP_LNC000576)
Source: RNAcentral